This 439-nucleotide ribosomal RNA is filed under the name uncultured bacterium. RNAcentral describes it as "bacterial SSU rRNA". It matches the Rfam family "Bacterial small subunit ribosomal RNA", at positions 8 to 484 of the family's 1533-position model. The record is from RNAcentral.
AGAGUUUGAUCCUGGCUCAGAACGAACGCUGGCGGCACGCCUAACACAUACAAGUCGAACGAAGCAUGGUAGCUUGCUAUCAUGACUGAGUGGCGCACGGGUGAGUAACACGUGGGAAUCUGCCUAUUGGUGGGGAAUAACCUUUGGAAACGAAGGCUAAUACCGCAUAAGCCCUGAGGGGGAAAGAUUUAUCGCCAAUAGAUGAGCCCGCGUUAGAUUAGCUAGUUGGUGGGGUAAUGGCCUACCAAGGCUGUGAUCUAUAGCUGUCCUUUUGGGGAUGGUCAGCCACACUGGGACUGAGACACGGCCCAGACUCCUACGGGAGGCAGCAGUGGGGAAUAUUGGCCUUGGGGGAAACCCUGAUCCAGCGAUGCCGCGUGAGGGCUCUCCUUAGGGUUGUAAAACUCUUCAGGAGGGACGAUGAUGACGGUACCUCCAG